Molecule: transfer-messenger RNA, 399 nt
Filed under: Capsulimonas corticalis
Lineage: Bacteria; Bacillati; Armatimonadota; Armatimonadia; Capsulimonadales; Capsulimonadaceae
Description: Standard tmRNA
Rfam family: transfer-messenger RNA
About the family: Bacterial tmRNA, also known as 10Sa RNA or SsrA, is named for its dual tRNA and mRNA-like properties. Its role is to liberate the mRNA from a stalled ribosome.
Source: Rfam by way of RNAcentral
GGGGGCGAUAGGUUUCGACUGAGAGAUUGAGUGCUUAGGUCGCAAGUCGAGGCGCCGCUGGCCUCGUAAAAAGCGGCAAAAAAACAAACGCGAACACUAAGUUCACCACAGCCCGUACUUCGUACGCGCUGGCUGCCUAACUAACCCUUAGGUAGUAUUGCGCCGCCUACGGGCGGUCCGUUUCCUCUUCUCAAGCCCGCCGGGAAGACCGAGGCGUAAAUAAACGGGAUCACGCUUAAGUAUCGCUUUCUGGCUUAAGCGGACAUCAAAGGAAAGAUCGCGCGGCUGGCAGCCCGCCAAUAGGCGGCCGAAGCGCUAAAAUUAAAUUGUUGGCUAUGCUUGUAGACGCCUAGGUUUUCGCUGCUUAGGACGAGGGUUCAACUCCCUCCGCCUCCACCA